Molecule: ribosomal RNA, 253 nt
Filed under: uncultured bacterium
Lineage: Bacteria
Description: partial 16S ribosomal RNA
Rfam family: Bacterial small subunit ribosomal RNA
Source: RNAcentral
UACGUAGGGGGCAAGCGUUGUCCGGAUUUAUUGGGCGUAAAGAGCGUGUAGGCGGUUUGGUAGGUCCGUUGUGAAAACUCGAGGCUCAACCUCGAGACGCCGAUGGAAACCAUCAGACUAGAGUCCGGAAGAGGAGAGUGGAAUUCCUGGUGUAGCGGUGAAAUGCGCAGAUAUCAGGAAGAACACCAAUAGCGAAGGCAGCUCGCUGGGACGGUACUGACGCUAAGGCGCGAAAGCGUGGGGAGCGAACAGG